UCCAUGCGUUUCUCAUUUAUCAAACGCUUUUUGUAACACUUUUUAAUACGUGUGAUUAAUUUAAUAUAAACUGUUAUUUUAGUUCGAGGCGGUUGUCGCUGACGUCAGUGAUAAAGCUGCCAGGCGCGGUGUCUGAUGGGAACUCGGAAACCGGAAGCUCCCUCUCGUCCUGCAGCAAAGCUGAGAAGCGGUUGUGUUUGUCCUUGCCUCGCAGUCCAAAUCUUUUUGCAUAGAUUUUUCCAGUACAGGUCUCAGACCAUGAGCGCCAACAAGGCCAAAUGUCAGUCUGGUCUUCGAGUGCCAUUGGAAAGCAGUGCGAAGGAUAGACACGGCUGAUUUAAAACCAUUGCGUCCUGUGCUGAUACUGUGAAAUCAGUGCGAAGGAUAGAUACGGCUGAUUUUAAAACCAUUGCGUCCUGUGCUGAUACUGCGGCUACCAGUAAUUGCAACAGAGCAGAAAGGUGUGGGGUCUCGUUGUGACUCUGGUGUUUUUUUUUUUUUUUUAACCAAGUGCUAGAAGAACACAUUUUAUUUAAGGUAAGUGAAAAUAAAGAUGUCAUUUACUGAGUAGGUUGGCAAAAUUAGCAUUUGUUCAUCUUCACUCUGGGUGUAUUCCCCCAGUUAGUCUUGAAUUUCUAUUGUAAAUUUGUUUAUCUGUGGUUGCUUAAAGUGAAUAAACAAAUGAAAAACCUAAA
This is a long non-coding RNA of Cynoglossus semilaevis (tongue sole), 695 nucleotides long. RefSeq lists it as uncharacterized. The record is from RefSeq and is a predicted model, not a curated record. NCBI's taxonomy places the organism in Eukaryota, Metazoa, Chordata, Actinopteri, Pleuronectiformes, Cynoglossidae. The transcript is spliced from 6 exons.